RNAcentral lists this ribosomal RNA (426 nucleotides) under Maoriata magna. RNAcentral's name for it is "partial 16S ribosomal RNA". It matches the Rfam family "Bacterial large subunit ribosomal RNA", at positions 1888 to 2597 of the family's 2925-position model. Lineage: Eukaryota; Metazoa; Arthropoda; Arachnida; Araneae; Orsolobidae. The record is from RNAcentral.
CGUUUUUAGACAAAAUUAAAAAUACUUCCUGCUCAAUGAACUUUAAAUAGCCGCAGAUUUGUGCUAAGGUAGCAUAAUCAAUUGCCUUUUAAAUAAAGGAUAGAAUGAAAGGACUCACGAAUUACUUUCUUUAUUAAUAUUCCCUAACAAAACUUUGUUACAAGUAAAAAAACUUGUUAAUCAAAAAAAGACGACAAGACCCUGUUGAACUUAACUAUUGUUAAGCUGGGGAAGCUUGUAAACAAAAUCUUCAUAAUAUUUUUAAAAAAGACCCUUAAUGUUAUAUGACCAAGUUACCAUAGGGAUAACAGCAUAAUAAAUUUUUAAAGCUCUUAUUUAAAAAUAAGUUUAUGACCUCGAUGUUGAAUUAAUUCCCUGUAUUUAGCAAAAACCAUAAGAGGAAGACUGUUCGUCUUUUAAAAAAUU